UACGUAGGGGGCAAGCGUUAUCCGGAUUUACUGGGUGUAAAGGGCGUGCAGCCGGGAAUGCAAGUCAGAUGUGAAAUCCCGCGGCUCAACCGCGGAACUGCAUUUGAAACUGUGUUUCUUGAGUACUGGAGAGGCAGACGGAAUUCCUAGUGUAGCGGUGAAAUGCGUAGAUAUUAGGAGGAACACCAGUGGCGAAGGCGGUCUGCUGGACAGCAACUGACGGUGAGGCGCGAAAGCGUGGGGAGCAAACGGG
This 253-nucleotide ribosomal RNA is filed under the name uncultured bacterium. Its description in RNAcentral is "partial 16S ribosomal RNA". It matches the Rfam family "Bacterial small subunit ribosomal RNA", at positions 524 to 776 of the family's 1533-position model. The record is from RNAcentral.